GGCUCCAUAGCUCAGUGGUUAGAGCGCUGGUCUUGUAAAUGAAGAGUCGUUAGUUCGAGCCUCACUGGGGCCU
Non-coding RNA from Rhincodon typus (whale shark), 73 nucleotides. The record is from the annotation of a RefSeq genome assembly. NCBI's taxonomy places the organism in Eukaryota, Metazoa, Chordata, Chondrichthyes, Orectolobiformes, Rhincodontidae.